Molecule: long non-coding RNA, 1141 nt
Organism: Hevea brasiliensis (rubber tree)
Lineage: Eukaryota; Viridiplantae; Streptophyta; Magnoliopsida; Malpighiales; Euphorbiaceae
Exons: 2
Source: RefSeq, a predicted model, not a curated record
UUCUUCUUUUCUGCUGCUCUUUUUCUUUGCUGGCUUCUCCCUUAUUCACGCGCCGUGGAGGUAAAAUGACAACAUUUCCUUAGCUUCAUUGAGAUCCCUCCCUUUACAUGAUCUCAAGGUUUUUUGGGUGAAGUUCUGGUUUUAGUUGACCUACUGUUCCUUUUUUUUCCCCCCUGUUCUUACUGUCCAUUAUCUAUCAAUUUCUUUUGUGCUUGCUAACCCAUACGACAGUUAAUGCUUGAUUGAUAAUUGAUAGAGCCAGUUUCUUCUCCUUUCUUUGUCAAUUUCUUUUGCACUUACUUUGAGAGUUAGUAGAGGGAUGGGUUAUACCUAUCCUGCUAUUCAUGCUUUGUAACUACCAUUAGCCCUCUGCUUGAUUGACAAUUAGUGGAAGGAUAAGUUGUUUGAGGCGUGAUUUAUGGUGGAAAGCAGGUCUUUGCAUUUCAGGCUGGAGGAAGCAAGCCUUGGCCUUGCUGCUGAAGGAAAUGGAAGGGCAAAAGAAACAACCAUAUGUUUUUCCUUUUAAUGUAUUGAUUGACACUCUUUGUAAGAAAGGGUUAGUCUCAAAUGCUUGAAAUCUAUUAUUUAUAUAAAUGCAACAUUUGAUAAAUAAAAAUCCCAGCUAUAAAGGAUAAAUUUCAAUAACUAUCCCUGAACUUAUAUGGUUGUAACACUACAGUCCUUAAACUUUAAAACUAACAUAAAACUCGCUAAACUUUUAAAUUUUGCAUAGUAAAAUCUCUCUAACUUUCAAUUAAUGAUUUUUCAGUUGAAAACUGAUGUGAACAGCUCCCGCAUGGCUCUUAAUCAACAUUUCUCUCUUCUCUCUUAUUCAAAUUGUAAAAUUAUUCUCUCUGCACCUGAAAAAUUAUUUUGUUUAUAGUGAGAAAAAUGAUUUAAUUUAGACAUAACUUGAGAGAGAAAAGAGAAAUAUUGAUUAAGCUCCACACCAGAACUGUUCAAGUCAGCGUCUAACUAAAAAACCGACAAUUAAAGGUUAGAUGAAUUUUACUAUGCAAAAUUUAAAAGUUGAAGGGGUUUUAUGUUACAUUUUUAAGUUGAAGGACUAUAAUGUUAUAAUAGAUAAGUUCAAGGACUGUUGUCAAAAUUUAUCUCAGCUAUAAAUGCCCUCAUUUCCUCA